This 1017-nucleotide ribosomal RNA is filed under the name Crypthecodinium cohnii. RNAcentral describes it as "partial Eukaryotic large subunit ribosomal RNA". It matches the Rfam family "Eukaryotic large subunit ribosomal RNA", at positions 1 to 1023 of the family's 3401-position model. The record is from RNAcentral. Lineage: Eukaryota; Dinophyceae; Gonyaulacales; Crypthecodiniaceae.
GACCUCAGAUCAGGCAGGAUUACCCGCUGAACUUAAGCAUAUCAAUAAGCGGAGGAAAAGAAACUAACAAGGAUUCCCCUAGUAGCGGCGAGCGAAGCGGGAAGAGCUCAAAUUUGUAAUCUGGCGCUUUCAGCGUCCGAGUUGUAAUCUCUAGAAAUGUUUUCCGCGUUGGACCGCACACAAGUCUGUUGGAAUACAGCGGCACAGUGGUGAGACCCCCGUUCAUGGUGCGGAUGCCCAAUGCUUUGUGAUACAUUUUCGAAGAGUCGAGUUGUUUGGGAAUGCAGCUCAAAUUGGGUGGUAAAUUCCAUCUAAAGCUAAAUAUUGGCGAGAGACCGAUAGCGAACAAGUACCGUGAGGGAAAGAUGAAAAGCACUUUGGAAAGAGAGUUAACAGUACGUGAAAUUGUUGGAAGGGAAACGAUUGAAGUCAGACUUGUUAUCUGGAGUUCAGCCUUUCGGUGUACUCUCCAGUUUACAGGCCAGCAUCAGUUUUCGGGGCGGGAAAAUCGUAAUUAGAAGGUAGCAGCCUAGCUGUGUUAUAGCUUUUUACUGGAUUCCGCUUUGGGGACUGAGGAACGCAGUGUGCUUUUAGCAAUACCCUCGGGUAUUUCACACUUAGGAUGCUGGUGGAAUGGCUUUAAACGACCCGUCUUGAAACACGGACCAAGGAGUCUAACAUGCUUGCGAGUAUUUGGGUGUCAAACCCGGAUGCGCAAUGAAAGUGAAUGAAGGUGGGAUCCGCAAGGUGCACCAUCGACCGAUCUGGAUUUUUUAAGAUGGAUUUGAGUAAGAGCAAUUAUGUUGGGACCCGAAAGAUGGUGAACUAUGCCUGAAUAGGGCGAAGCCAGAGGAAACUCUGGUGGAGGCUCGUAGCGGUUCUGACGUGCAAAUCGAUCGUCAAAUUUGGGUAUAGGGGCGAAAGACUAAUCGAACCAUCUAGUAGCUGGUUCCUGCCGAAGUUUCCCUCAGGAUAGCAGAAACUCGCAUCAGUUUUAUGAGGUAAAGCGAAUGAUUA